GUGAGGAAUUUUCCGCAAUGGGCGAAAGCCUGACGGAGCAAUGCCGCGUGAAGGAUGAAGGCCUAUGGGUUGUAAACUUCUUUUCUCAGAAAAGAAUUAUGACGGUAUCUGAGGAAUAAGCAUCGGCUAACUCUGUGCCAGCAGCCGCGGUAAGACAGAGGAUGCAAGCGUUAUCCGGAAUGAUUGGGCGUAAAGCGUCUGUAGGUUGUUUAAAAAGUAUUCUGUCAAAGAUUAGGGCUUAACCCUAGAUAGGCAGAAUAAACUUUUAAGCUAGAGUUUAGUAGAGGCAGAGGGAAUUCCCGGUGGAGCGGUGAAAUGCGUAGAUAUCGGGAGGAACACCAAAGGCGAAGGCACUCUGCUGGGCCAAUACUAACACUGAGAGACGAAAGCGAGGGGAGCAAAUGGGAUUAGAUACCCGAGUAGUCC
Molecule: ribosomal RNA, 426 nt
Filed under: uncultured bacterium
Lineage: Bacteria
Description: bacterial SSU rRNA
Rfam family: Bacterial small subunit ribosomal RNA
Source: RNAcentral